RNAcentral lists this ribosomal RNA (253 nucleotides) under uncultured bacterium. RNAcentral describes it as "partial 16S ribosomal RNA". It matches the Rfam family "Bacterial small subunit ribosomal RNA", at positions 524 to 776 of the family's 1533-position model. The record is from RNAcentral.
UACGAAGGGGGCUAGCGUUGCUCGGAAUCACUGGGCGUAAAGGGUGCGUAGGCGGGUCUUUAAGUCAGGGGUGAAAUCCUGGAGCUCAACUCCAGAACUGCCUUUGAUACUGAAGAUCUUGAGUUCGGGAGAGGUGAGUGGAACUGCGAGUGUAGAGGUGAAAUUCGUAGAUAUUCGCAAGAACACCAGUGGCGAAGGCGGCUUACUGGCCCGAUACUGACGCUGAGGCACGAAAGCGUGGGGAGCAAACAGG